Molecule: ribosomal RNA, 240 nt
Filed under: Triticum aestivum (bread wheat)
Lineage: Eukaryota; Viridiplantae; Streptophyta; Magnoliopsida; Poales; Poaceae
Description: partial small subunit ribosomal RNA
Source: RNAcentral
GGGGACCGCUGGACAGUUCGUGAGGUUUUGGCCCUCUCAAAAGCCAACAACCCCAAGCUAGUCUUUCUUUGUGAGACUAGGCAAGAGGAAACUAAAAUGGAGAAAUUGAAGUGGAGAUUGGGCCUAAAAGGCUUUUAUGGUGUCAGUAGUGAUGGACGAAGUGGCGGUCUCGCAUUGUUCUGGGAGGAGACACUUUCAGUGACAGUGCUCGAAUCGUGUAACAAAUUUAUUGAUGUAUGA